This is a non-coding RNA of Pseudonaja textilis, 3925 nucleotides long. NCBI's taxonomy places the organism in Eukaryota, Metazoa, Chordata, Lepidosauria, Squamata, Elapidae. The record is from RefSeq and is a predicted model, not a curated record.
CCUGCUGACCCCAAUGUAGCUGCUUACUUCCCUCUGAUCCCAACCUGUUUUGGGCUUGAUGAACUCACCCCUCCACCAUUUUCAGGAUUAGGGCUUUGUGAAGCUCAAGUGUUUUUUUUUUCCAUUCUUUUCUUUUUGUUAGAAGAGUAGUUGAUUGAGUGAGUAGAGAAAGUUUGGUGAGGGUUAUGUCAGAGUUUGCUUUGGAAUAAGAUUUUCUUUUUUCUUUUAAAAUUGCACUGUUUCAGCAUCCAUCUUUCAAGAGUUGGCAAUGUCAUCCCAGGCCUGUGGAAAGUGUGUUGAUGUCUUGGCCAAGCAAGUUGUAGCAAAGGCCUACCUGGCACCAUGUAGGUUGCGUGAACCAAAGUUGCCUUUAGGAAAAGUCUGUCUAUGAAAAGAAGAAGCCAAGUUGGUCUUAUCCCAAGAAUGGACAAGAUUCUUUGCUCUAGAAAAGUGAAUUCAAUGGGCCAUUUUUCACUCUGCUGAAAAGGCUGGAAAUCAGAAACCAUGGUCUGUAUUCUUCUUUAAAGAACUCAGCACGUUGGUGAAAAACAAUGCAUGUUUGCUUUGUUCUGGGCAUCUGAAAAAAACAUCUCUUAUCUUUUCUUCAGAUCCACACUUACGCUGACAUUAAUGUACCUAAAGCCAAUUGAUGUCAUGCAUAUUGAAUAGUGUGGCAUCUACCCAGAAGGAAAUGAAGUGGAUUCAGAAGAAGAAUGAGGAGCAAUUGGUCGAAGCAUUGAAUGAUGCUGUUGACGAUUGAUGAUGAUGAUGGCAAUGAUACGUUUCUAGAACAUUCUUUCAGCAUUUUUAGUCUCAUCAUUUGUUACCCAUAUACAAGAAGCAGAAAUUUGAUGCUCUUAAAUUACAUCAUUUUGGAAUCAAUUUCAUAAAAGGAGGCAGAUAUGUUGGAGAAAGCCUAACACAAACCUCUGUGGAUACAUCAUAAAAAUCAUAAUGGGCUGCCAACCAGGCGUAUCCACCAACUCCUGCUGCAGUGAUUCAUCCUGAAAAUGUUUGGAGGAAAUAUAUGACUACUAACUGUCUGCAGUGGUGAAGACGUACCACAGAAAACCGUUCAUUGCUUUCUGUGACUGUAUUGCAGAUCAACCACCCUGAGAGCAGGUGUAUCAUACCGUAUGCAGACUUUCACCCAGGCGACAAUUCUUGAUGUCAAGUCCUUUGGGUGCUACAUUCUAGCAAGCCUCAGCUUUUUAACCCACCUUAGAUGUUGCCAAUGGCUGGAAUUUUUUUCCCCUUGUGCGCAGUUUAAUUUUUCUUCGGUUAUACAGCUGUAAGAAUAAUUAGUAGAAUUGAGAGUCAGGGUGACUUCAAUCAAAAGCAAAAGAGCCAGUGCCAUUUGCUUAUAUGUGUUUUUUGGAGGGUUUAAUUGACCACAAGAUGGUACCCAGGUUUCCCUAUGUCAUGCAGCUCCACAAGAAUUUAAUGAAAACAGAGGUAAAGAUUAUCCCCGUUUUUCAGACAGAAAUGAGAUGGAGAAGGAAAGAUUUCCCAGUAGCCUGCUACCAACCGAUCAUUUUAAAAUUUGAAUUCAAGAUUGUUCGAUUUCACUUAGCAUAUUUAUAAAUACAUACUGUCUUAAAAAUAUGACUUAAUUUUGUUGUGGGAGGGCAGUAUGAUGACUCACAUUUUUAGCAAAUAUUCUUUUACAAGUAUAUUGUGAAGAAAUCACUAUCACACUGGGUGGAGAUGGAAGCACACAGUUUUUGAAUGUGCAUGGUGGCUAAGAGAUCUGCAGUGUUUAAACUUAAAAAAAACCCUCACAUGCGUACUGUUGCCUGAGGGCAUUUGUAGAGAAACUUCUUCCAUUCCCAGAUCUUUCCUGGAUUAAUGUGAAAUGGAACAAUUUUGGGAAGUGCUACUGAAGACAAGUCCUCUCUCUGCAAAACAACAACAGAGUUCCCUUUCCCUCAUAUCCUACUAGAGUUCCCCCGCCAACCUCUUAAGCAAAACAAUCUUAACUUUGAAGAAGUUUUGGAAUAACCAGUACAGGAGGGCAUCUUCUAGUUUAUGUCAAUAACCUAACAAUCUCAACUGACUCCUUCAUUUAGUUAUGCUCAACUCGAGUCUGCUCAAAAACUAAACUAAAGUAUUUUGAUUCCAGAACUUGUUGAUGUAUAAGAAGGUGCUAAGAAAUAUAAUUUUCUACUAAGAAACUGUGUUUUCCAGAAAGAAUUAUUUCUGAAGUUUCUGGAGUUAGACAGACAAACAGACAGAAGACCAGACUUCUUGGGUGGUAGUGAAUGGAGAUGCAAGUGACUUAUCUUUUUUUUCCCCCCAAAGGCAAGUAUCUGGUUUUGGAGUUUUCUUUUAUUAAGAAAGGUUGAGGAAAUGAACAAUGUCUUUGAAGAGUGGAGGUCCUUUGAGAUAAAUCAAGCCACUGGACUGAUGGUUAGAAAAAGUCCAGAGAGAACGUAACUCAAUGGUAAGGCUGUUGCUUUGCAUGGAAAAGAUCUAAGGUUGAGUUUUUAUGUGGUGAGGGCUAAAGUUGAGUAUGUGUGGGAAGAUAUUUCCUGUAUUCUAAUUAAUGGCAUGGAAUUACCCCAAUUAUAGAUGAUUUCUAUAGCUUUUUACAUCCAUAAUGGAAAAAGUUCUGCCCCAUUUCUGCAUUGUUUGUGUUGUGUAUCAGGUUAUUGAUCGUUUAGGUAGGCCUGUGAUCUGCUACUAUUAUUUGAUUACCAUGGGCUCCCUGAAUAUGUUAGACUUCUCAAAGAUUCUAUAGAUAUAAUUCUUCUGGGAGUGUUAGUAAAACAACCAGGAGAAAAACCCUCCUCAUGAUUCUUAUGCCAUUUGUUUAAUAAGUGUAAAAGCCAGAAUCAUUUGCCUUUUGAAUGUCUCAAAAGCAACAAAAAAAUAUACUUUUUGUAAAUAAUCAGCUCUCCUGUGUAUGUACUUUAAAUGAGUUUGAUUGGAGUGCAAUAUCAGAAACUUAAUAAUAGCCUGCAAUAUUUAGGUCAAGUGCAUCACCAUUCAUGGAUUAGCCUGGGAAAUGCAAAUUAGCAGUUAAAUUAAUUUCUACUUGCUGAUCAAAUGGACAGAUCAAGGAAACAAUGAGAUUGCUAGAAGUGGGAUGUCAUCCUGUGAUGGCUGGUCCCAAAGGAAUUAUGUUUUAUGGAAAAUGUUCUUCAUUUUACAAAGGUUAGUAGACAAUAACAUCAUGGAUUGCCAAGAAUGGUUAUUGUUUAAAAUUAUUGCUCCUGUGUCUGAUACAUAAACACUACAUAUAUUAUUGGAACAAGAAAAAUUGAAAUAUAUUCACUUUUGCUAAUUCCAUUCACAUUCCAACAUAUUCUACUAUAUUCACUAUUUCUCUAAUUUCUUUCUUAUUUCCACGUAAGCUAACCCAUUCAAAGCCUUUGAAAAACAUAUAAGGGAGAAUGUUUAAAAAGAAAAUUUCCAUGUAGGAGAGGAUAGAUGAUUAAAGUUCCUUCCACAUUGGAUUUCCAAAGAGCACCUCACUACAUGGGAAUAAAACUGUUCCUCAGAAAUAAACAAUACAAUAACAAUGUUCUUGCUGUCCAGUUAAUCCUAUUUGGGCACCUGAAUGGGAAUAGUUAUCUUGGCACUGUGGUCAGAGGGAAAUUUCAGUGGAAGCAUUACAAUGAUUAUGAGUGGGAGAAACACAACUCCCUUAACUUUUCCUUAGAAUAUAGCAGCAUGGAUGAAAAAUCUUCAGGUUUUUUCCAGCAUUUCAUUUGAUAUUCCUUUGUCAGAUUUGGCACGGAGAUAAUGCAAAUUUGAAUUUUCCAGAUUUUCUUGUUGUUGAUAAACUAGCAAUUAAACAUCAGGAAGUAGAAAGUGGUGGUGUGGGACUUAUAUGUGUUAUUGUAUUAUAGGUCCCUAUUGGCUAAGAGCUGUUAUAUCCAAACUCAGCUGACUGAGAACCUGAAGAGUAGGAAGAAGAUUU